RNAcentral lists this small RNA (853 nucleotides) under Paraconiothyrium cyclothyrioides. RNAcentral describes it as "eukaryotic LSU rRNA". It matches the Rfam family "Eukaryotic large subunit ribosomal RNA", at positions 50 to 920 of the family's 3401-position model. Lineage: Eukaryota; Fungi; Ascomycota; Dothideomycetes; Pleosporales; Didymosphaeriaceae. The record is from RNAcentral.
GCGGAGGAAAAGAAACCAACAGGGAUUGCCCUAGUAACGGCGAGUGAAGCGGCAACAGCUCAAAUUUGAAAUCUGGCUCUCUUUGGGGGUCCGAGUUGUAAUUUGCAGAGGAUGCUUUGGCAUUGGCGGCGGUCUAAGUUCCUUGGAACAGGACAUCGCAGAGGGUGAGAAUCCCGUACGUGGGCGCCUGCCUUUGCCGUGUAAAGCUCCUUCGACGAGUCGAGUUGUUUGGGAAUGCAGCUCUAAAUGGGAGGUAAAUUUCUUCUAAAGCUAAAUACCGGCCAGAGACCGAUAGCGCACAAGUAGAGUGAUCGAAAGAUGAAAAGUACUUUGGAAAGAGAGUCAAAAAGCACGUGAAAUUGUUGAAAGGGAAGCGCUUGCAGCCAGACUUGCCCGCAGUUGCUCACCUAGGCUUUGGCCUGGGGCACUCUUCUGCGGGCAGGCCAGCAUCAGUUUGGGCGGUCGGACAAAGGCCUCUGUCAAGUAUCUCCCUUCGGGGUGACCUUAUAGGGGAGGCGUAAUGCGACCAGCCCGGACUGAGGUCCGCGCAUCUGCUAGGAUGCUGGCGUAAUGGCUGUAAGCGGCCCGUCUUGAAACACGGACCAAGGAGUCUAACAUCUAUGCGAGUGUUUGGGUGUCAAGCCCGGGCGCGCAAUGAAAGUGAACGGAGGUGGGAACCCUUUGGGUGCACCAUCGACCGAUCCUGAUGUCUUCGGAUGGAUUUGAGUAAGAGCAUAGCUGUUGGGACCCGAAAGAUGGUGAACUAUGCUUGAAUAGGGUGAAGCCAGAGGAAACUCUGGUGGAGGCUCGCAGCGGUUCUGACGUGCAAAUCGAUCGUCAAAUUUGGGCAUAG